AAGUAAAAGUCGUAACAAGGUCUCCGUAGGUGAACCUGCGGAGGGAUCAUUACAAGUGACCCCGGUCUAACCACCGGGAUGUUCAUAACCCUUUGUUGUCCGACUCUGUUGCCUCCGGGGCGACCCUGCCUUCGGGCGGGGGCUCCGGGUGGACACUUCAAACUCUUGCGUAACUUUGCAGUCUGAGUAAACUUAAUUAAUAAAUUAAAACUUUUAACAACGGAUCUCUUGGUUCUGGCAUCGAUGAAGAACGCAGC
This 257-nucleotide unclassified non-coding RNA is filed under the name uncultured fungus. RNAcentral describes it as "sequence contains 18S rRNA gene, ITS1, 5.8S rRNA gene". The stretch from base 1 to 52 matches the Rfam family "Eukaryotic small subunit ribosomal RNA", at positions 1780 to 1831 of the family's 1831-position model. The record is from RNAcentral. Lineage: Eukaryota; Fungi.